Molecule: ribosomal RNA, 119 nt
Filed under: Saimiri boliviensis boliviensis (Bolivian squirrel monkey)
Lineage: Eukaryota; Metazoa; Chordata; Mammalia; Primates; Cebidae
Source: RNAcentral
GUCUAUGGCCAUACCACCCUGAACGCGCCCAGUCUCAUCUGAUCUCGGAGGCUAAGCAGGGUCGGGCCUGGUUAGUACUUGGAUGGGAGACCGCCUGGGAAUACCAGGUGCUGCAGGCU